CCUACGGGGUGCUGCAGUGGGGAAUAUUGGACAAUGGGCGAAAGCCUGAUCCAGCCAUGCCGCGUGUGUGAAGAAGGCCUUCGGGUUGUAAAGCACUUUCAGUGGGGAAGAAAGCCUUGGGGCUAAUACCCUCGAGGAAGGACAUCACCCACAGAAGAAGCACCGGCUAACUCCGUGCCAGCAGCCGCGGUAAUACGGAGGGUGCGAGCGUUAAUCGGAAUUACUGGGCGUAAAGCGCGCGUAGGCGGUCUGAUAAGCCGGUUGUGAAAGCCCCGGGCUCAACCUGGGAACGGCAUCCGGAACUGUCAGGCUAGAGUGCAGGAGAGGAAGGUAGAAUUCCCGGUGUAGCGGUGAAAUGCGUAGAGAUCGGGAGGAAUACCAGUGGCGAAGGCGGCCUUCUGGACUGACACUGACGCUGAGGUGCGAAAGCGUGGGUAGCGAACAGGAUUAGAUACCCGAGUAGUC
RNAcentral lists this ribosomal RNA (465 nucleotides) under Vreelandella stevensii. RNAcentral's name for it is "partial 16S ribosomal RNA". It matches the Rfam family "Bacterial small subunit ribosomal RNA", at positions 338 to 795 of the family's 1533-position model. Lineage: Bacteria; Pseudomonadati; Pseudomonadota; Gammaproteobacteria; Oceanospirillales; Halomonadaceae. The record is from RNAcentral.